AUCAACGCUGGCGGCGUGCCUAACACAUGCAAGUCGAACGCGAAAGUUCCCCGAAAGGGGGAUGAUUAGAGUGGCAAACGGGUGAGUAACGCGUGGGUAACCUACCCUUGAGUGGGGAAUAACUUACCGAAAGGUGAGCUAAUACCGCAUGGGGAGUCAAGUUGCAAGACCAUGACUCUAAAGACGAAAGUCGCUUAAGGAGGGGCCCGCGUCCGAUUAGCUAGUUGGUGAGGUAAUGGCUCACCAAGGCGGCGAUCGGUAGCUGGUCUGAGAGGACGGCCAGCCACACUGGGACUGAGACACGGCCCAGACUCCUAUGGGAGGCAGCAGUGGGGAAUCUUGGGCAAUGGGCGAAAGCCUGACCCAGCAACGCCGCGUGGAGGAUGAAGCCCUUCGGGGCGUAAACUCCUGUCAGGUGGGACGAAAGGCGGGGAAACCUGUCUUGACGGUACCACCGGAGGAAGCCACGGCUAACUCCGU
Molecule: ribosomal RNA, 480 nt
Filed under: uncultured bacterium
Lineage: Bacteria
Description: bacterial SSU rRNA
Rfam family: Bacterial small subunit ribosomal RNA
Source: RNAcentral